GGGCCCAUGGUCUAGCGGUUAGGACGCGACAUUCACACUGUCGAGCUCGCCGGUUCGAUCCCGGCUGGGCCCA
RNAcentral lists this transfer RNA (73 nucleotides) under Candidatus Iainarchaeum sp. RNAcentral's name for it is "tRNA-Val". It matches the Rfam family "tRNA". Rfam says of the family: Transfer RNA (tRNA) molecules are approximately 80 nucleotides in length. Their secondary structure includes four short double-helical elements and three loops (D, anti-codon, and T loops). Lineage: Archaea; Nanobdellati; Candidatus Iainarchaeota; Candidatus Iainarchaeia; Candidatus Iainarchaeales; Candidatus Iainarchaeaceae. The record is from RNAcentral.